Molecule: long non-coding RNA, 1448 nt
Organism: Lathyrus oleraceus (garden pea)
Lineage: Eukaryota; Viridiplantae; Streptophyta; Magnoliopsida; Fabales; Fabaceae
Exons: 2
Source: RefSeq, a predicted model, not a curated record
UUGAAGCUUAAAUCGCGUGAAGAAUUAUUUGAAUGAAAACUCAGAACAUGCGUUUCAUUCUCUUCUUUCUCAGCCAAAAGGCGUUACUGGAAACGGAGGCUUCGCCGCGCCGGAGGCGGGGGAGCGGGUCACACGUCAAAUUUCAACCACCAAACGCUCGUCCCUGUGUCCUCUCUCUAAACCCUCCCUUCAUUUCUAUCAAUUUUCAACCAUUAAUUUGAAUGGAAGGAAAUAUAUUAAGAACCCUAGAAUGUAAAAACUAAAUUAAAUUGUCACCAUGGCUCAAAUCGAUCCACAACCUUGGGGUUAAGGUUUAUCUACAUCAAUUCUAUCAUUUGGUAACCAGCAAUAGGAUCAAAUAGGGGAGUUCGAAAGACGUGCACCAACCUUCGGAGCGGUGAAUUAUUUCGGUCAAUAUUGAGAGCCUUAAAGAUGAUAGGAAAUUCAGAGGAUCAGCUAAAAUCUCGAACUCUUCGAUGCUUGAUUCUGUUCUUCUUUUUCUUCUUCUUUGCUUUAGCCGGUAGGAUGUGCCGUUGCUGUGAUGUUACAUUGUUCUUGAUGCUUGUGUGAGAUUGACGAAUGAAAUAUGUAGAGGCUGAUUGAGAGAGUGUGAGGAUAAGGUCUAACUCGAGCAUAAUUAGAGCUUCAAUGUGAAGCUCCAAUGGCUUCCCAAUAGAGCUCUGUGUGAGGUUUUCGAGAGAGAGCGAGAAUGAGGGAGAUGAAGAAAUUCCGAGGGUAAAUGCAGAAAAAUGGUGAGAGAAAACUAGCUCCUCAAUGAUUAUGUGCUCAUUGGAUUUAUAGGGAUUGAAGUUGACAGAUCCCAAACUAUGUUAAUUCUCCCUUGUGUAAAACGGUUAUAGGUUAGUAACACUGUUAGAAUUAGUUAGACUCAGUUAGGGUUAGGAGCGCAAUUGCCUUGAUAAGUUAGUUAAGGUUGGUUGUGAUGUACUUCUGUUAAGUGAAGUUAGUGAGUUAGUUAUGGUUCAUGAACUGUUAGCAUUUCCAUUAGCUUAUCGUGGAAUCCCGUUUUGUGUUGUUGAAUGAAUUACAAGGUCCUAUUAGCUACUCUGUUACUGUUAGUUAUGAGUUUUAUGAGCCACCCGGUAAUGUAAUAAUAGAGCUUGUUGUGACUGCACUUGGAAUUGUUAUGCAGGUGGAGACUUGGUUUGAAAUGCCUUCAUUCAUUGGUUCGACAGGGAGUAUGGAGCAAAGGUCAUAAUGCAUUGGCUUGAUGGUUGAUGACAUAAGUCCAAUGGAAGCAUGAAAGGUGGAACAUGGUGGAUCAUGAGGGAAAGAGUUGCCAUGAUUUUCAUUUCAUGUUGAAAUCAAGCCAAAAUAUCAGGCAUUAGGAUAUGUGGCAUGUUAUGUAACAUGCGAAUAUAAUAUUGUGAAUGUUGUAUAACACCUACUUAUAUUUUUAAUGGAAAUGCUUUAUGUGAUAACUCUAA